UUUUUUUCUCCUUCUCUUCCCCCUUUUUUUUUUUGUUCGCCCUUGUUUUUCAAAAACAUGUCCUUUCGUUUUUUUUGGAAGGUCUGGCCUGCCCAGUGAAUAAAUUUAACGGCCGCGGUAUAUUGACCGUGCAAAGGUAGCAUAAUCAUUAGUCUUUUAAUAGGAGGCUGGUAUGAAAGGUUUAACGAAACAUAAACUGUCUUAUUUAUAAAUUUUAACUUAACUUUUAAGUUAAAAGGCUUAAAUAUUUUUGGAGGACGAGAAGACCCUAUAGAGCUUUACAUUAUUUAUUUUUAAUAUUUAUUUGUUCAAUAAUUUAAUAUUAAUUUUAAUAUUGUUUUGUUGGGGUGACAAAAAAUAUAUAACUAACUUUUAUUAUUUAAUUUACAUCAAUUUAUGAAUUUUGGAUCCAAUAUUAUUGAUCAUUAGAUUAAGUUACCUUAGGGAUAACAGCGUAAUCUUCUUUCAGAGUUCAAAUUUACAAGAAGGCUUGCGACCUCGAUGUUGGAUUAAGAUAAUAAUUAGGUGCAGCAGCUUAAUUAAUAGGUCUGUUCGACCUUUAAAUCUAACAGAUCUGUCACGUC
This 584-nucleotide ribosomal RNA is filed under the name Ceriagrion fallax. Its description in RNAcentral is "partial large subunit ribosomal RNA". It matches the Rfam family "Bacterial large subunit ribosomal RNA", at positions 1760 to 2620 of the family's 2925-position model. Lineage: Eukaryota; Metazoa; Arthropoda; Insecta; Odonata; Coenagrionidae. The record is from RNAcentral.